Molecule: long non-coding RNA, 1213 nt
Organism: Thamnophis elegans (Western terrestrial garter snake)
Lineage: Eukaryota; Metazoa; Chordata; Lepidosauria; Squamata; Natricidae
Exons: 3
Source: RefSeq, a predicted model, not a curated record
AUUGUUUUUCUCCUUUACUGAAUCUCCCAGCUGAAAAUGCUUCCUGGAUGGGCUUUACUACUCUGAGUCCCAAAUAGCAGGAGAUGAGGGCUAUCUUGGCGCCACUAGCUGGUGCAAAUAUACUGCGGUGAAGGCCGAAUGCUGAUGAUACGCAAAUGUAAGUAGCGCUUCGCUCCCGCACCUUCCAGCCAUCAACACUGCCACUUCAUCCCACUUGUCCGUCCCCCCAACACUGGCAUCAUUCCCUCAUUCCAGCCGGCAACAGCUGUGCUCCUUUUUGCAUGUUUGCAAAGUUGCACAUUGCAUGUGCCAGCCCCUAUGGCCUAGAUUUCCAGCCCCACUAUGGGCCAGUCCUAUAUUCCAGAGCUGUAGUAGUCACAGGACUGGCCCUUUGGUCAUCCCUGAGCAGUUCCUCAAACCGGGAGCAGUGGCCAGCUGGGGAGCAGGCAAUUCCCCUGCAGGCUAAUGUACCCGGAUGGAGGAGCUGCUCUGGGAUGACCAAAGGGCCAGUCCUGUGACUACUUCAGCUCUGGAUUAUGAGACUGACUUUCCCACCAACAUCAGCAAGCCACCGUAAAUCUGCCCAUCUUUGUUUUCCUUCACUCAGGUUGACCAAGCUUCUUGAGAGAAGGAACACAAAAGAGGGUUCCAGGCUGUGUGCCUGGACCAGGUGCUUUCUCUCGGGCCUCCCACCCCGAGGCCUCGCAGAAGCAGACAGGUAGGCCCAAAAGGCGUCUGAGCCUCCCCCUCCCCCAGUGGUCCAUGGGAUUUAAAAUUAUGAAUUUGGUGGUCUCUGAGGUCCAAGAGGUUGGAGGCCCCAAUCUGCAGCAAGGAUGGAUAGUGCAGGAGAUGACUAGGCUGAGCCCGAGGAAAUGAUCAAAUGCAUCAUAAGUCAUGAGUCCCUGCAUGUCCGCAAAAGAUCCAAGUCCAGCACAUCUUGAAUGUCUUUUAUUCCCACUCAUUUCCUUAACUGUUAGUAGUUCAGAUUUUUGUAGAGAUCUUAAGCUUGCAAUAAAUCUUUAUACUCAUCUGAACUCCCUGUAUCUCCUGAUUUCCCUGGUGCCUGACAACGCAAUGAUGGGUGCACCACUCGAAGGUCUGAAAAAACAGACUGGGGGCUGAUCCUCCUGAUGAAAAUUUAUCUGAUCACUAAGAUUCAACAACAACUUGAUGCAUCUGGAUCCCAUUGCAACUGGUACGCUGCAAUGGGCCC